Non-coding RNA from Salvelinus sp. IW2-2015, 187 nucleotides. The record is from RefSeq and is a predicted model, not a curated record. Lineage: Eukaryota; Metazoa; Chordata; Actinopteri; Salmoniformes; Salmonidae.
AUUUUAGAACUACUGCAUUUAAGGUCUGUGUUUCGUGUAGGCUUACCCUGGCGUGAUGUUUUGAUAACCGUGCAAAUCUCUCUCGGGCAAGCUACAGGCAGGGAUGACUGGGGCCUACAGCAAGUAAGACAGGGGGGCUUCCAUGUCUUCUCCCUGGACUUUCUCAAUGUCCAGCUCUUGAACAUCA